This 468-nucleotide ribosomal RNA is filed under the name uncultured bacterium. Its description in RNAcentral is "partial 16S ribosomal RNA". It matches the Rfam family "Bacterial small subunit ribosomal RNA", at positions 28 to 507 of the family's 1533-position model. The record is from RNAcentral.
GACGAACGCUGGCGGCGUGCUUAACACAUGCAAGUCGAACGGAAAGGCCCUGCUUUUGUGGGGUGCUCGAGUGGCGAAAGGGUGAGUAACACGUGAGUAACCUGCCCUUGACUUUGGGAUAACUUCAGGAAACUGGGGCUAAUACCGGAUAGGUGCUCCUGCUGCAUGUUGGGGGUUGGAAAGUGUCGGCGGUUGGGGAUGGACUCGCGGCUUAUCAGCUUGUUGGUGGGGUAGUGGCUUACCAAGGCUUUGACGGGUAGCCGGCCUGAGAGGGUGACCGGCCACAUGGGGACUGAGAUACGGCCCGGACUCCUACGGGAGGCAGCAGUGGGGAAUAUUGCACAAUGGGCGGACGCCGGAUGCAGCAACGCCGCGUGCGGGAUGUCGGCCUUCGGGUUGGAAACCGCUUUCGCCGGUGACGAAGCGUGAGUGACGGUAAUGGGUAAAGAAGCACCGGCUAACUACGUG